RNAcentral lists this ribosomal RNA (253 nucleotides) under uncultured bacterium. RNAcentral describes it as "partial 16S ribosomal RNA". It matches the Rfam family "Bacterial small subunit ribosomal RNA", at positions 524 to 776 of the family's 1533-position model. The record is from RNAcentral.
UACGAACUGUGCGAACGUUAUUCGGAAUCACUGGGCUUACAGGGUGCGUAAGCGGCUUGUUAAGUAGGGUGUGAAAGCCCCCGGCUCAACCGGGGAAUGGCGCCCUAAACUGGCGAGCUAGAGUGAGAUAGGGGUGUGUGGAACUUCCGGUGGAGCGGUGAAAUGUGUUGAUAUCGGAAGGAACGCCGGUGGCGAAAGCGACACACUGGAUCUUGUCUGACGCUGAGGCACGAAAGCCAGGGGAGCGAACGGG